CCGCAUAACCAUAGUUACCGCAUGGUAACUAUGUAAAAGGUGGCUAUGCUACCGCUUUUGGAUGGGCCCGCGGCGCAUUAGCUAGUUGGUGGGGUAAAGGCUUACCAAGGCAAUGAUGCGUAGCCGAACUGAGAGGUUGAUCGGCCACAUUGGGACUGAGACACGGCCCAAACUCCUACGGGAGGCAGCAG
Molecule: ribosomal RNA, 191 nt
Filed under: uncultured bacterium
Lineage: Bacteria
Description: partial 16S ribosomal RNA
Rfam family: Bacterial small subunit ribosomal RNA
Source: RNAcentral